GACAGAGGGGGCAAGCGUUGCUCGGAAUUACUGGGUGUAAAGGGCGCGUAGGCGGAAUGGCAAGUCGGUCGUGAAAUCCUUCGGCUCAACCGAAGAACGUCGAUCGAAACUGCCGUUCUUGAGGAUUGCAGAGGAGACUGGAAUUCCCGGUGUAGCGGUGAAAUGUGUAGAGAUCGGGAGGAACACCGGUGGCGAAGGCGGGUCUCUGGGCAAUUCCUGACGCUGAGGCGCGAAAGCGUGGGGAGCAAACGGG
RNAcentral lists this ribosomal RNA (253 nucleotides) under uncultured bacterium. RNAcentral describes it as "partial 16S ribosomal RNA". It matches the Rfam family "Bacterial small subunit ribosomal RNA", at positions 524 to 776 of the family's 1533-position model. The record is from RNAcentral.